This 747-nucleotide small RNA is filed under the name Pongo abelii (Sumatran orangutan). RNAcentral describes it as "processed transcript". Lineage: Eukaryota; Metazoa; Chordata; Mammalia; Primates; Hominidae. The record is from RNAcentral.
AACAUGCUCUGCAGAGAAAUCAAAGAUGGCGGGUGUAUCCGCUGUUCGCUGGUUGGGGCUCCGCAGCAGGCUUGGCCAGCCGCUGACGGGUCGGCGGGCGGGUCUGUGUAAACAGGCACGCAGCUGCAGAUUUUAUUCUGGUAGUGCAACCCUCUCAAAGGUUGAAGGAACUGAUAUAACAGGGAUUGAAGAAGUAGUAAUUCCAAAAAAGAAAACUUGGGAUAAAGUAGCCGUUCUUCAGGCACUUGCGUCCACAGUAAACAGGGAUACCACAAGUGUGCCUUAUGUGUUUCAAGAUGAUCCUUACCUUAUACCAGCAUCCUCUUUGGAAUCUCGUUUAUUUUUACUGGCAAAGAAAUCCGGGGAGAAUGUGGCCAAGUUUAUUAUUAAUUCAUACCCCAAAUAUUUUCAGAAGGACAUAGCUGAACCUCAUAUACCGUGUUUAAUGCCUGAGUACUUUGAACCUCAGAUCAAAGACAUAAGUGAAGCCGCCCUGAAGGAACGAAUCGAGCUCAGAAAAGUCAAAGCCUCUGUGGACAUGUUUGAUCAGCUUUUGCAAGCAGAGGCGGGGUUUCACCAUGUCAGUCAGGAUGGUCUCGAUCUCCUGACCUCGUGUCCACCCACCUCGGCCUCCGAACCACUGUGUCUCUUGAAACAACAAAUAGUCUUUUGGAUUUAUUGUGUUACUUUGGUGACCAGGAGCCCUCAACUGAUUAUCAUUUUCAACAAACUGAACAGUCAGAAGCA